RNAcentral lists this long non-coding RNA (11511 nucleotides) under Lactuca sativa (garden lettuce). Its description in RNAcentral is "long non-coding RNA (LSAT_LNC000230)". The record is from RNAcentral. Lineage: Eukaryota; Viridiplantae; Streptophyta; Magnoliopsida; Asterales; Asteraceae.
AUGACAAUUCCAAGUACAUUGACAAACACUACCGGAAAUGCAAUGGCCCUUAGCGAGAAGUCCUCUACCACUUCUGCACAACACUUCACAUAUUAUGCCUUUGCAAAAAAAAAUAUUCCAAUUGGCUUGACACUGUUCGCCAUUGAUCAUAUGUGUACCUAUAUCAUAUGAGAGCAAAAUAACAUCAAUUAACAAAUCAAUUAAGAAUCAUCAGAAAACAAGAAUUUGUAGUUUUUGUGGUAAGUCGGCGUAAUGAAAUAUAGCUAAGAUACUACUAUAAUGAGCAAUUUUUAUUAUAUAUCAUAUAAAGAUUACCAACAANUCACAAGAGCAACAUAUAGUUUGAUGGACGCCAUACCUUUUAAUUUACUGAUACUCUAUACAAUGGAAGUGUAUUGACCAAAUGGUUCAAUCAUUGUAAAUUUAUAGGAAGAAGUAAAUUGCGUACAUAUGAUGGAUUAAAACAUGUGCCAUUUAAUUCACAAUAAAUAUAUUUAGUUGGUUGUUGGUAGCCUCCAUUAAUUGUUGAAAUCUUGAAAAAGUAUUUGAUCACAUGAACGGAUGAACCUAUAUCAAUGAAAGUCAAUCAUCUAUCCCAUUACGUAAGUUUAUUAUAUGUUAUGGAAAACUCUUUACCAUUAAAGUUUUUCAAUCAUGUACAUUGAGAUUUAUUUGAAGAUGAUGAACUUUAUUGCUCUUUGUGACAACGAGAUGGAAACAAAGGAUCACAUUUUCAUCAAAAAUGUAGUUGUGAGCCUAUUUUGGGUAUUUAUGUUUGUACUAAAGAUCGAACUUUCGCCCAAACCACAAUUUAGUAUUUCUCGAAAAAUGUAUUCAAACACAGACAAAUUUAACAUCAUCAAAAUUCUAUAAAAUGUAAAUGUAUUAUAUUUGAAAUGAAUAUAACUACUUAAUUUCAUUGUACUGAUUCCAUUCCCUCAAGUGUAUUGGUCGAUGUAAGGUACUAAGAUGGAGGUGAUUCCGUGCCCUCAAAUGUAUGGGUUGGUGAAAGGUACUGUCAUGGAGGUCUGAUGGUGUUAGAAGAGCAAUUUGUAUAGUCUAAUAGCAGCAGAGUAAAAUAACAUAUCACUUUCUAUGACUAAAUUAUUAUGGAUUUAAGCUUCUAAAAUAACAUAUCACUUUCUAUGACAAAAUUGUUAUGGAUUUAAGCUUUGCGUUUUUAUUGGCAUAAAAGCUCCACUAAUGUAAACUUUUUAAAUGAUAAUGAAAAUGCAAUUUAGACAUUAGUUAAGUUAUAAUAUUAAGGCCAUAAAUUAAAAUUUUGGAUUUUAUUGGAUACUAGGGAUAAUAUAUUAAUAUUUAGAUUUUGAUCUGGUAACUAAUGUGCAUCUCAUAAUUCAGUGACAUAUCACUAGAAUAAAUGAAUGCAUUACCGGCGAUACUUUUAACUUUACAUUUAAUCAUUAAUUUAGUUUCCAUCAAUUUUAAUAUACAAUAACUUUAUUAAUUUCAAAAUUCAAUUUUAGUUUCUAAUAAAUUGCAGUUUCAACCUUUUUUGUUAACAUUUUUUUAUAAUUAACCCGUUUAGAACACGAGUCUGACAACUAAAUAUGUAAUUUUAGUAUAUUGAUUUUUUGAAUGUAUAUUUAUUUCUAUAUUAUUAUUUUCACAUAAUUUUCACUUUCUUUAAAAUUCAAAUUCAACUAAAUUUUCCAAUUAAUCCUUCGUAUUUAACAUUAUGUAUUAAUCACCCGUUUUUGGUAUACGGGUCUUAAAUUUAUAACGUGAAUAUGAGUACAUGAUAAUAAUAAGAAAAAGUUAGUAAAUCAAAAAUUGGUAAAGAAUCAAUUUGAUUAUGGUUGGUAUAUUAUUUUCUCCACUAUUCAUUAACUUUAGAUGAUUCGCAUAUUAAAUUGGUUAUCAAUUUUUAUUUUUAUUUCUAACCUGCUUUGUUAUGUUUUAAAUAUAAACCACAUAAAAUGUAAAUACUAAUUUUGGUUCAGAUUCAGCUAAAGAAGAAGUAUAAAGUUUGAAAUGUUAUAGGAUAUGGUAGGAAUAGACCUAACAAUCCAUGUUUUCAUUGUAAAUCGUUUUUUGGGUAUCAAACAUGAAAAAUGACUUUAAAAUUUCGAAUAUUACUAAAUUGGUCUCUAAACAUUCAAUAAAUAUAAAGUUUACCCGCUAAGUUUUGUAGAAUCUAUACAUGUUUAUAUGUGUCGCGUUUCCCACAAAUUAAAUUUGAGUCUUAUGUGUUAAAACAUAUAAUUCGUUUUUACAUGAAUACACAUGAAUAAAAAUUUCUAAAAAUCAUUCAAAGAGAAGUUAUGUUGUAAUCACGUCGUUUAAGUAGUGUCGUCAAUCGAAUUAUCAUGUCUAUGUAUGAGAUGUGCUUAUGUGCACAUGCAUCGUCUGUCAAUACAUGUGCAUAUGCAUAGAUGUGCACAUGUGCUCACGAAUAUUUUUGAUGAAAAAUAUCUUCUGAUACAAAGAUAAUUAUAUUGAAAUUUCAAGAAAUAUCCCAAAUCUGAUUAAUAAAUUUAAUAACUAGAAAAUUUUUCAUUUUUUUUCUAAAUUCUAGCAACAUGUUAAAGAAAGUGUAGGUGAAAUAUAUUAUGCUUGAUGGAAUUUAAAAUAUAUUAUUUAGUUGAGAAACAUUAAUGAUAAGAAUUAUUUAAUUUUAGUUGUCAUUUUUUUAUAAUUAUUUUUUAUAAUGAUAAAAAAAACAUUAUACAUUAUCUAAAGCUGAAAUGUCUAUUUUGGAGAUGGUAAUAUUUUGGUAAUAACCCAAAAGUUUAGUUAUUCCUCUUUGUCAUAAUUUUUGUAUUUUUAUAAAAUUACACUUAUUAUUAAGUAUUAUUCAUCCCUAAACAUAUUGUUAUAACAUGUAGACACAUAAAACUUUUAUAUUUUAGUUCGAUCUCUUAAGCGACAUCUACACAAACUUUAAGGAUGACAAUUCCAACUACAUUGACAAACACUACGGGACAUGCAAUGGCCCUUAGCGAGAAGUCCUCUACUACUUCUGCACAACACUUCACAUAUUAUGCCUUUCCAAAAAAAAUAUUCCAAUUGGCUUGACAUUGUUUGCAACAACGUAAUUUUCAAAACAAAAUUUUCAUUUUUCAACAACCAAAUUCAUAUAAAAUAUUCUCAAAAGUAUCCAUCAAUAGUUAUCAAAUCAUAUCGUAUCCCAAGAUCACAAAAAUCAAAUCCUCUCUCUAGUAUGUACGAGUCACGUCGGCGCCUUCCCACGUUCCUCGCUAGUACCUAAAACACAUAACACAACUGUAAGCAUAAAUGCUUAGUGAGUUCCCCAAAAUACCACUUACAAACAUACGCCUUUCCAGGCCAUACUCCACACGACCAACUGGCCCAUGUGUCUCAAGGGACUUCCGUCCCAACCCGGUAAACCUUCCGGUCCUACCUGCGUUGAGCUUCCGGUCCAUAACUCCCUGACCUUCCGGUCCACAUCAUAAUGCCUUCCGACCCAUAUCAAACAUAACAUACAUAUCACAUACAUAGCGCAUACGAAACAGACAACUCAUAGCGUGCAACGCAUAUAUCUCAUAGCUUACCAGACCUUCUGGUCACACAUAGGUACCCUACCCGGUACAGUAUAGUGAGAAGACUCACCUCGUAUGAUGUCUAGAAUCUCACGUGCGCGAUAUCACUGACUCUCAAAACGACGACCUAGCCCCACUUAAUCACAACAAAUAAUCAUUCCAAAUAUUAACGGCUUUCAAGGCUAUGCUACACCCCUUUCCAUUAACCCACAGAAGGGUAAAAGACCAUUUUACCUCUCCUUGACUCAAAGGUCCACAUGUUGAGCAAAACCCUAAAAGUCAACAACAAGCAGUACGUGGGGCGUACCAGCUCCUCUACGCGGGGCGUACCCUUUCACUCCAGUAAGGAGGGACACGACCCGCUACGCGGCGCGUAUUGGGAUUACGCCUAGCUUACAUCCCAGUUUCUUACUUCCUCAUUUUAAUGUCUUAAACGGUUAAGACAUAACCCCACAUUUAAGAUCUGGCCAUUUUAAUACCUCUUAAUCCAUAAAGUUGAAACCUUUAAGCCUUUGCAUGGCUAUAAAGGUUCCCCACACCUUCUAACACCUUUCCUUUCUCCUCCAAAAGUCUAGAUCUCAUGCAUGGCUCAACAUUCACGUCCAAGAUUGCAUUUUUAUGAUCAUACAACUCAUAUAGUCCUGGAAUAUGAUAGAUCUAGGCGAAUGGAGACUAUUUGCUCAUAAAGUCUCCAUCUUGGGACCAAAAACCCUAUAAAUUGGUCCAAGAAGCACACCACACAAACUACAAGGCAAGAUCUGAACUUUUUACCUCAGGAAGAAGCUCCAACCUUUGUAGUCCUCAGAUCUACAUUUGUCCACCCACUUCUAGCUUCCACAAUGGUCUCCUCUUCUCUUCACCACCUUGGAAUGACACUUUGAAGCUUAGAACACUCACACCCAAGCUAAAAACGAAGGAAAUACUCUCUUAGGGUUUCUUUCUGAAAGAUGGUGGCUGAGGGACAAGACCAUCUCAUUCCUUUUUAGCCCUCAAGUCAUAUUAGGAUUUUGAAUCUGGGCCGGUUACGCCCGACGUAACCUUAGGUACGCCCAGCAUACCCGGAUGGAACCGCGUACAAAAUAAGCGUGCGAGUACGCGUAGCGUACUCCUUGUACGCCCAUCGUACUCACAAGCUUAACACUUAACACAAAGGGACCUAAUAUGACAACUUGGAAAAGAUGAAGGGCUAAAUGGUUGAACCUGAAUUCCAGGAUGUUAUAAUUCUCCCCCACUAGAACCAGACUUCGCCCCUGAAGUCUUAUACCGAAAACAACUCCGGAUGUUGCUCCCGCAUCUCUGACUCUGACUCCCACAUCAGCUCGGACCCCUUCCGAUGCUGCCAUUGAACCUGCACCAANNNNNNNNNNNNNNNNNNNNNNNNNNCCUGAAUCGCGAUUGGUCUCUCAAUGUAAUUCAGGCCCGCAUCCACCUGAAAAUCCUCCAGAGGCACUACCACCGACUCGUCGGCUAUACACUUCCUCAACUGAGACACAUGGAAGGUAUCAUGAAUGUGGCUCAACUCCACAGGUAGCUCCAGAUGAUAUGAUACUCUGCCUACUCUCGCAAUCACUUUAAACGGACCAAUAUACCGGGGCCCCAUCUUGCCCCUCUUCCUGAAUCGGAUCACUCCUAUCCAAGGAGAUACCUUCAGGAGCACAAAAUCACCGACCUGAAACUCGAGCUCAGGUCGUUGCCUAUCCACAUAACUCUUCUGGCGACUCUGAGCGAUCAACAACCUCUUUCGAACCUAUUGUGUCUGCUCUGUCGUCUGGAGCACAGUCUCUAUACUACCCAUCACGUGUUGCCCUACUUCUCCCCAGCAUAUGGGGGGUCCUACACCUCCUCCUAUAUAAUAGCUCAAAAGGUGGCAUGCCAAUGCUCGAGUGAUGGUUGUUGUUGUAGGAAAUCUCAGCCAAGGGCAAAUACGGGUCCCAACUUCCACCGAAAUCCAAUACACAUGCCCGAAGCAUGUCCUCGAGCAUCUGAAUCAUCCGCUCACUCUGUCCGUCCGUCUGUAGGUGGUAUGCGGUACUGAAAUGCAGCCUCGUACCCAACUCCUCAUGAAACGUCUUCCAAAAUUUGGAUGUAAAUCGCACAUCUCGAUCUGAAACAAUCGAGAUCGAAACUCAAUGCCGUGAUACCACCUCCCUCGCAUACAGCUUUGCCAGCCUCUCAGCAGAAGAGCUCUCAUUGAUAGCAAGAAAGUGAGCGCUCUUCGUCAACCUGUCUACAAUCACCCAAAUUGCAUCAACACCUCUAGCAGUCCUUGGCAAUUUGGUGAUAAAAUCCAUGGUAAUCUGCUCCUACAUCCACUCAGGAAUCUCUAACGGCUGCAGCUUACCAUGCGGACUCUAGUGCUCGGCCUUAACCUUGCGACAUGUCAAGCACCUCUCUACGAACCAUGCAACAUCCCUCUUCAUACAAGGCCACCAAUACUCCUUCUUUAAAUCCAAAAACAUCUUAGUGGCGCCGGGAAGGAUCGAGAACUUCGACCUAUGGGCCUCCUCCAUCAAGAUGGUACGCGCUCCGCCCACAAACGGUACCCAGAUCCGGCCCUGAAAAGUCAUAAGUCUUCGACUAUCGGUAACAAACUCCGAUACCCGCCCGAUCACCCGCUCCCUUUUGCGAUUCUCUGGUCUCACGGCCUCUGCCUGGGCCCCUCGUAUGGUGUCCAACAUUGGAGUCAUCAUUGUCAACCUUAUACAAAUGUCUCGAAUCGGGGCACUCUCCGCCCUACGGCUCAAAGCAUCGGCUACAACAUUAGCCUUGCCUGGGUGGUACAAGAUCUCACAAUCAUAAUCCUUUACCACAUCCAACCAUCUCCUCUGGCGCAUAUUCAGGUUGGGCUGAUCCAUCAAGUACUUCAGACUCUUGUGGUCCAUGUAUAUGGUACACCAAACCCCAUACAGAUAGUGACGCCAGAUCUUGAGGGCCAACACCACAGCCCCCAGCUCCAGAUCGUGGGUGGGAUACCUCGACUCAUGAGGCUUCAGCUGCCUCGAAGCAUAUGCUAUCACAUGCCCCCUCUGCAUAAGCACUGCUCCCAAACCGGAUAUCGAUGCAUCGCAGUACACCACAAAAUCCUCCAUCCCUUCCUGGAGUGCGAGCACCAGGGCUUCGCAUAUUUUCUGGCGAAGUGUCUCAAAUGAGGUCUGCUGCUCUGGACCCCAGGAAAAAGCGACACNACACCCUUCCGGGUCAACUUGGUGAGUGGCACGGCGAUCUUGGAGAAAUCCUUAAUAAAUCUCCGAUAAUAUCCGGCCAAUCCUAAGAAGCUCCUGAUCUCGGUGGGCGAUCUCGGCACCUCCCACCUCAUGACCACCUCAAUCUUGGCCGGAUCGACCAAUAUCCCAUUCUGGUUGACGAGAUGUCCCAAGAACUAAACCUCUCGUAACCAGAACUCACACUUGCAGAAUUUGUCAUACAGCCUCUCCGAUCUUAGAACUCUAAGGAUCUCCCUCAAAUGCUUCUCAUGUUCCUCUCUAAACCUCGAAUAUACUAAAAUAUCAUCAAUGAAUACGAUCACCGAACGAUCCAGCAUCGGCCUGCACACCCUGUUCAUGAGAUCCAUGAACGCAGCUGGUGCAUUGGUGAGCCCAAAAGGCAUCACCACGAACUCGUAAUGCCCAUAACGAGUUCUAAAUGCUUGCUUCUGGAUAUCUUCAUCCCGAACCCUCAUCUGAUGAUAACCCGACCUCAAGUCUAUCUUGGAGAACCAAGAUGCCCCUGCAACUGAUCGAACAGAUCAUCGAUCCUCGACAACGGAUAACGGUUCUUGACCGUCAACUUGUUCAACUCUCGGUAAUGAAUACACAUCCGGUGUGAACCAUCCUUCUUCUUGACAAAAAGGAUUGCCGCUCCCCAAGGUGAGCUACUCGGUCGAAUAAACCCCUUCCCCAACAGCUCCUGAAGCUGUGAGGAUAACUCCUGCAUCUUUGGCGGCGCGAGGCGAUAAGGCGCCUUGGCGAUAGGUGCUGCUCCUGGAACCAAAUCGAUACGGAACUCCACUUGCCUCUCGGGAGGCACACCCGGUAGUUCCUCGGGAAAAACAUCCAGAAACUCGCACACUAUCGGAACCUCAUCAAUCGAACUUGUCAUCCUAGCGGCCACUCGUGUGUCCAUAACAUAGGCUAUGAAUCCACUGCAGCCUUGCUGCAAACUCUGUCCCGCCCUGGCAGCCGAACAAAACGCUGACCCACAUCGGGUUCCCUCGCCAUACACUGUAAGCACUCCCCCACUGGGGUCUCGUAUCGUCACCAACUGACGCUCGCAGUCUAUAACAGCUCCAAAUCGGCUUAACCAAUCCAUGCCCACUAUAACACACACAUCCCCCAUCGCAAUCGGGACCAGAUCUAUCGGGAACUCCACACCGAAGAUCUCAAGGAUACAUCCUCGAAUCACAUCCGAAGCAUGCACUGCUCGCUCAUCAACUAUGGAAACUCACAGAGGUUGACUCAACGCCUCUCGACAGAUAUUAAUGUGCUGACUAAAUGCCAAGGAAACAAAUGACCGACUCGCACCCGAGUCAAAUAAUACCAAAGUAGGUACAGAACUCAUAAGAAAAGUACCAACGCAUAUCACCAUAUAAGCACAGUAUCUCAAACAAAAGAUAAAAUACAGAAUACAUACCAGCCACAACAUCGGGCGCCGCGCGGACCUCCUCCGCAGUCAACUCGAAAGCUCUCCCACGAGCCUUCGGAGCCUCGGCCUUCACCGGUCGAACCUCGGUAACCCUAGCAGCAGGCGCAGAUCCCUGAUGUAGCUGAGGGCACUAGGCCUUCCGAUGGCCGGUUUGGUUGCAAUGGAAGCAAACCAUAAAUCCCUUGGGUAAUCCCUGGCGAUAUGUCCCUCCUUGCCACAUUUGUAGCAAGCACCCGAUCGACAGGCGCCCUCAUGACCCUUGCCGCACUUCCCGCAAGUGCGGCCCUUCUGGCCUCUAGUCCUCGAUCAGCGGACNNGUGGCUGCCGGCUGAGACUGAGCCGGCCGCCGAUCCAUCCUCUGAGACUCGACCUCCUCCCUGGCUUGAGUCUCCAACUUAAUCUCCCUCUUUCGGGCAUUUUCCUGGAGCUCAGCAAAUGUCCGGUACGUCGAGUUCGACACAAACUCCCAAAUGUCCCUCCUCAGAAUGCCCAAAUACCGGCUCAUCCAUUCCUGCUCGGUAGACACCUGCUUAGGGCAGAACAUCACCCUCUCAUUAAACUUCCGGGUGACCACAGUAACCGAAUCAUUACCCUGUUUGAGGGUCAAGAACUCCUGAACCAACCGUUCCCUCUCCACCGGGGGAACAUACUCGUCUCUGAACAUGGUGGUGAACCUCUCCCAGGUCACCUCUGAAAUCUCUGCAAGAGUGAAGCUCGUUGUCACGAACUUCCACCAAUCCUUCGGUCCCAAGCGAAGCUGGUUCAAAGCGAACCGUACCCUCAGAUGCUCCGGACAUGAACACGUAUAGAAGCAUCCCUCAAUGUCAAAAAUCCAUCUCAUCGCAACGAUUGGCUAUUGCUUCCCAUCAAACUCGGGUGGCUUCAUGUUGCUAAACUCCCGGAACAACAACGAGUCACCUCCCUGAGGUUUGGCAGCAGCCACAACUGUUGUAGCUGCAACGGAUGCGGCUUCAGUCACCAUGGCGUACCGCUCAUCAAAAGUCUCCAUCAGUGUGGUCUUGAUAGACCCAAACAUCUCCGAAAUCUCGGCCUUGAUCGCCGCAGCCACCUCAUCGUGGAUCAUCUGACGUAGCUCCGUAGCCACUCUAGUCCUAAUAUGAAUACCUAGCCAGCUCUAACAUGCAUAAUAUAACAUUUCAUAUUUCAUAACACAUACGUAAGGACUUUUUGGGGGGUUCACCGUUCAGGCGCUGACUAACCGUACAUACUGCUCCGCUCUGGUUGUCUCAAAUUCUCUUGCUUUUUAGAAAAAUUAGUUUUUAUCGUUUGAAAUUUUCCUCAAAUCCUCAGUUUGAGUUCAGCUAUGCCCGAAGGUGCAUCCGAAUCUCUUAAACCAAGGCUCUGAUACCAACUUGUAACAACGUAAUUUUCAAAACAAAAUCUUCAUUUUUCAGCAACCAAAUUCGUAUAAAAUAUUCUCAAAAGUAUCCAUCAAUAGUUAUCAAAUCAUAUCGUAUCCCAAGAUCACAAAAAUCAAAUCCUCUCUCUAGUGUGUACGAGUCAUGUUGGCGCCUUCCCACGGUCCUCGCUAGUACCUGAAACACAUACGACAACAACUGUAAGCAUAAAUGCUUAGUGAGUUCCCCAAAAUACCACUUACAAACAUACGCCUUUCCAGGCCAUACUCCACACGACCUUCCGGCCCAUGUGUCUCAGGGGACUUCCGUCCCAACCCGGUAAACCUUCCGGUCCUACCAGUGUUGACCUUCCGGUCCAUAACUCCCUGACCUUCCGGUCCACAUCAUAAUGCCUUCCGGCCCAUAUCAAACAUAGCAUACAUAUCACAUACAUAGUGCAUACGAAACAGACAACUCAUAGCAUGCAACACAUAUAUCUUAUAGCCUACCAGACCUUCCGGUCACACAUAGGUACCCUUCUAGGUACAGUGUAGUGAGAAGACUCACCUCGUAUGAUGUCUAGAAUCUCAUGUGCUCGGUAUCACUGACUCUCGAAACGACGACCUAGCCCCACCUAAUCACAACAAACAAUCGUUCCAAAUAUAAACGGCUUUCAAGGCUAUCCUACACCCCUUUUCCAUUAACCCACAGAAGGGUAAAAGACCAUUUUACCUCUCUCUGACUCAAAAGUCUACAUGUUGACCAAAACCCUAAAAGUCAACAAAAAAAGUCAACAGCAAGCAGUACGCGGGGCGUACCAGCUCCUGUACGCGGGGCGUACCCUUGCAAUCCAGAAAGGAGGGACGCGACCCACUACACGACGCGUAUUGGGCUUACGCCUAGCGUACAUCCUAGUUUCUUACUUCCUCCUAUUAAUGUCUUAAACGGUUAAGACAUAACCCCACAUUUCAGAUCUGGCCAUUUUAAUACCUCUUAAUCCAUAAAGUCGAAACCUUUAAGCCUUUGCAUGGCUAUAAAGGUUCCCCACACCUUCUAACACCUUUCUUUUCUCCUCAAAAAAAUAUAGAUCUCAUGCAUGGCUCAACAUUCACAUCCAAGAUUGCAUUUUUAUGAUCAUACAACUCAUAUAGUCAUGGAAUAUGAUAGAUCUAGGCCAAUGGAGACUAUUUGCUUAUAAAGUCUCCAUCUUGGGACCAAAAACCCUAUAAAUUGGUCCAAGAAGCACACCACACAAACUACAAGGCAAGAUCUGAACUUUUUACCUCAGGAAGAAGCUCCAACCUUUGUAGUCCUCAGAUCUACAUUUGUCCACCCACUUCUAGCUUCCACAAUGGUCACCUCUUCUCUUUCACCACCUUGGAAUGACACUUUGAAACUUAAAACACUCACACCCAAGCUAAAAACGAAGGAAAUACUCUCUUAGGGUUUCUUUCUGAAAGAUGGUGGCUAAAGGACAAGACCAUCUCCUUCCUUUUAUAGCCCUCAAGUCAUAUUAGGGUUUUGAAUCUGGGCCGGUUACGCCCGGCGUAACCUUAGGUACGCCCAGCGUACACGGAUGGAACCGCGUACAAAAUAAGCGCGCGAGUACGCGUAGCGUUCUUCUUGUACGCCCAACAUACUCACAAGCUUAGCACUUAACACAAAGGGACCUAAUAUGACAACUUGGAAAAGAUGAAGGUUUAAAUUGUUGAACCUGAAUUCCGAGAUGUUACAUUGUUCGCCAUUGAUCAUACGUGUACCUAUAUCAUAUGAGAGCAGAAUAACAUCGAUUAACAAAUCAAUUAAGAAUCAUAAGUAAAGAAGAAUUUGUAGUUUUAGUGGUAAAUCGACGUAAUGAAAUAUAGCUAAGCUACUACUAUAAUGAACAAUUUUUAUUAUAUAUCGUAUAAAUAUUACCAACAAUGGCGAGUAUGAUCACAAGAGCAACAUAUAGCUUGAUGGACGCCAUACUUUUUAAUUUACUGAUA